AUUCGCGGCCUAUCAGCUUGUUGGUGAGGUAAUGGCUCACCAAGGCGUCGACGGGUAGCCGGCCUGAGAGGGUGACCGGCCACACUGGGACUGAGACACGGCCCAGACUCCUACGGGAGGCAGCAGUGGGGAAUAUUGCACAAUGGGCGCAAGCCUGAUGCAGCAACGCCGCGUGAGGGAUGACGGCCUUCGGGUUGUAAACCUCUUUUAGCAGGGAAGAAGCGUGAGUGACGGUACCUGCAGAAAAAGCGCCGGCUAACUACGUGCCAGCAGCCGCGGUAAUACGUAGGGCGCAAGCGUUAUCCGGAAUUAUUGGGCGUAAAGAGCUCGUAGGCGGUUUGUCGCGUCUGCUGUGAAGUCCCGAGGCUCAACCUCGGGCCUGCAGUGGGUACGGGCAGACUAGAGUGCGGUAGGGGAGAUUGGAAUUCCUGGUGUAGCGGUGGAAUGCGCAGAUAUCAGGAGGAACACCGAUGGCGAAGGCAGAUCUCUGGGCCGUAACUGACGCUGAGGAGCGAAAGGGUGGGGAGCAAACAGGCUUAGAUACCCUGGUAGUCCACCCCGUAAACGUUGGGAACUAGUUGUGGGGACCAUUCCACGGUUUCCGUGACGCAGCUAACGCAUUAAGUUCCCCGCCUGGGGAGUACGGAAU
This 649-nucleotide ribosomal RNA is filed under the name uncultured Actinomycetes bacterium. RNAcentral describes it as "bacterial SSU rRNA". It matches the Rfam family "Bacterial small subunit ribosomal RNA", at positions 229 to 888 of the family's 1533-position model. Lineage: Bacteria; Bacillati; Actinomycetota; Actinomycetes. The record is from RNAcentral.